UCGUGGGUUGACCUGUCUGCUUGAUUGCGAUAACGAACGAGACCUCCACCUAUUAACUACAGUGCUGCUCUUGAGUGGUGGCUGUUCUUAGAGGGAUUAUCGGUGCAAGCCGAGGGAAGCUGGAGGCAAUAACA
RNAcentral lists this ribosomal RNA (134 nucleotides) under uncultured eukaryote. RNAcentral describes it as "partial 18S ribosomal RNA". It matches the Rfam family "Eukaryotic small subunit ribosomal RNA", at positions 1299 to 1458 of the family's 1831-position model. The record is from RNAcentral.